ACGUGGGCAAUCUGCCCUGCACUCUGGGACAAGCCCUGGAAACGGGGUCUAAUACCGGAUAUUGACCUUCACGGGCAUCUGUGAGGUUCGAAAGCUCCGGCGGUGCAGGAUGAGCCCGCGGCCUAUCAGCUUGUUGGUGAGGUAAUGGCUCACCAAGGCGACGACGGGUAGCCGGCCUGAGAGGGCGACCGGCCACACUGGGACUGAGACACGGCCCAGACUCCUACGGGAGGCAGCAGUGGGGAAUAUUGCACAAUGGGCGAAAGCCUGAUGCAGCGACGCCGCGUGAGGGAUGACGGCCUUCGGGUUGUAAACCUCUUUCAGCAGGGAAGAAGCGAAAGUGACGGUACCUGCAGAAGAAGCGCCGGCUAACUACGUGCCAGCAGCCGCGGUAAUACGUAGGGCGCAAGCGUUGUCCGGAAUUAUUGGGCGUAAAGAGCUCGUAGGCGGCUUGUCACGUCGGUUGUGAAAGCCCGGGGCUUAACCCCGGGUCUGCAGUCGAUACGGGCAGGCUAGAGUUCGGUAGGGGAGAUCGGAAUUCCUGGUGUAGCGGUGAAAUGCGCAGAUAUCAGGAGGAACA
This 580-nucleotide ribosomal RNA is filed under the name Streptomyces sp. SCAUEA12. RNAcentral describes it as "bacterial SSU rRNA". It matches the Rfam family "Bacterial small subunit ribosomal RNA", at positions 115 to 708 of the family's 1533-position model. Lineage: Bacteria; Bacillati; Actinomycetota; Actinomycetes; Kitasatosporales; Streptomycetaceae. The record is from RNAcentral.